RNAcentral lists this unclassified non-coding RNA (551 nucleotides) under Homo sapiens (human). RNAcentral's name for it is "ABR activator of RhoGEF and GTPase (ENSG00000276016.4, ENSG00000278741.4)". The record is from RNAcentral. Lineage: Eukaryota; Metazoa; Chordata; Mammalia; Primates; Hominidae.
AGCUGUUUCGGGCACAUUUGUUCUCCAGCCCAGACUCCCACCUGCUGUCCCUCUUCAAGCUGGACCCACAAACCGUGGAGACCAAGAACUGGCACACGGACGUGAUUGAGAUGAACGGGAUCAAAGUGGAAUUUUCCAUGAAAUUCACCAGCCGAGAUAUGAGCCUGAAGAGGACCCCGUCCAAAAAGCAGACCGGCGUCUUCGGUGUGAAGAUCAGCGUGGUGACGAAGCGGGAGCGCUCCAAGGUGCCCUACAUCGUCCGGCAGUGUGUGGAGGAGGUGGAGAAGAGGGGUAUCGAGGAGGUUGGCAUCUACAGGAUAUCGGGCGUGGCCACGGACAUCCAGGCGCUCAAGGCCGUCUUCGAUGCCAAUAACAAGGACAUCCUGCUGAUGCUGAGUGACAUGGACAUCAACGCCAUCGCCGGGACGCUCAAGCUGUACUUCCGGGAACUGCCCGAGCCGCUCCUCACGGACCGACUCUACCCAGCCUUCAUGGAGGGCAUCGCCCUGUCAGACCCUGCUGCCAAGGAAAACUGCAUGAUGCACCUGCUC